RNAcentral lists this ribosomal RNA (497 nucleotides) under uncultured bacterium. RNAcentral describes it as "partial 16S ribosomal RNA". It matches the Rfam family "Bacterial small subunit ribosomal RNA", at positions 29 to 507 of the family's 1533-position model. The record is from RNAcentral.
AAUGAACGCUGGCGGCAUGCCUAACACAUGCAAGUCGAACGAAAACACGAGGUCCUUUGUCCCCUGACGUCGUAGGGGGACGGAAGAGUCACACGUGGUCAAGAUACCUAUCCGACAGGGAUACUAACGCGAAAUAGGAUCUAAUACCGGAUAAUUUAUUGACCUGCGUUGUUCAAUAGUUAAAGACGGUUUUGCUGUCACUAAUAGCUGGCUACGCGCCGCAUUAGUUAGUUGGUAAGGUAACGGCUUACCAAGGCUACGAUGCGUAGCCGACCUGAGCGGGUGAUCGGCCACACUGGAACUGAGACACGGUCCAGACUCCUACGGGAGGCAGCAGUAGGGAAUCUUCCGCAAAGGGCGAAAGCCUGACGGAGCAACGCCGCGUGAGUGAUGAAGGUCUUCGGAUCGUAAAACUCUGUUAUUAGGGAAGAACAAAUGUGUAAGUAACUAUGCACGUCUUGACGGUACCUAAUCAGAAAGCCACGGCUAACUACGUG